CAGAAAUAGCCAAGAAAUACGGGUAGUCCUUGACUUAUGACCAUAAUUGAGCCCAACAUUUAUAUUGGUUAAGCAAGACAUUUGUUAGCUUUGGUUGCAGUGCUUUAUCUAUAAUCGUUUAUGAAUCCCUUGCCAGCUGACUGAUAUCUUAAGGCAGCGACAGUGGCCACCUUAGGAAGUUGCUGGCAGAAUUUGUUUAUUCUUCCUUUUGGACUACAACUACUGCAGCUUGAAUGAUAGGGACCCCAGUUCUACUGCUCAAGAGAUGGUGAACUGAUAUUGACAAGGGCUCCAGAACAGAGGUAUGUAGUUGGAACUGGCUUGGUACCCAUGUGGAUGGUCUUUUGUACCCAGGGGGAGGAGUCAAGGGGGAAAUUGAGCAUGCAUGAAGCUCAUUCUCUGCUGGGAGCCGUCGGGUGAGGAGCUCACGGCCGCGGCUCCUGAAGCUAGGCCCAGCCCUGCCAGGGGAAGGUCGGACUCACCCCUGGGAACUCGGAGCUGGGCAGUGGAGGUCCGGAACUGGUCCUGGGCUACGGGAUUAUUUUCAAGCGUUGGCGGGAGGCCCAGGAGACUCGUGUUCGCCGGGUGGGGCCUCCAGAAGAUCGGCUGGUCGAUGGUUGUGGCGAUUGGCUCCGGUCUGUAGACGCUGGUCGUGGGAUGGGACGGGAAGCCCGGCGGAGGCUUCGGUGCUGGUAUGUAGUUGGAACUGGCUUGGUACCCAUGUGGACGGUAUUUUGUACCCAGGGGGAGGAGUCAAGUCAAGGACGUUCAGCCUGCACCUGGAGUGGCGUGACUGGGAGGCAUCUCCAAUUGGGACAGUGGAUUGAUUGGACCAUGUGAUGGACAUGUGGAUGCAGAGGAAGGAACUUCAACUUUCCUUUGGGUGGGGAAAACCCGGGAGCUUUCAGAUUUGGGUUUUCCCAGAUGUGCCAAUAUGACAUCUCUAAUAAAAUGGAACUUUGAGGAA
Non-coding RNA from Pantherophis guttatus, 967 nucleotides. NCBI's taxonomy places the organism in Eukaryota, Metazoa, Chordata, Lepidosauria, Squamata, Colubridae. The record is from RefSeq and is a predicted model, not a curated record.